Long non-coding RNA from Oncorhynchus tshawytscha (Chinook salmon), 3071 nucleotides. The record is from Ensembl. Lineage: Eukaryota; Metazoa; Chordata; Actinopteri; Salmoniformes; Salmonidae.
UGGUGGAAUAAUGUAUUGAGAUGGGAGUCGUAUUUAAAUAAAUGUAUCAUAGAAGAGAAAGUCACCUAAAGUUAAAUGUAGGGAAUAACGAAGAGAUACGAUGCAAUUUCAGGCUAUCCGGAUGUUAUAGCUAUUUAUGAAUCGACUGACAUACGAUAAAUUUAGCACAAAACAUGAAGCCUCCUGGGAUUAUAAUCUUGGGGAGAGUGGGGGAGAGAGCGGCCAUAAACGACCAAAUUGAAAAAGGUCUGGAAGUCUUGAUUAUCCAUUAAGGUUUGCAAAUAUAUACACAUAAAACAAUUGUUAAUACUAUUUGUUUUAGUGCAAAGGUAUUUUAAAGAGGCACGCUCACAUAUGGAACCUUUUGAGUUUUUAUUUUAUGGGUUUUAAUUACAAAGGUGAUUAUUUUUAUUUUAAGGAUAAAGGGUUCUUUAAUAUGUCUAAUAUGGUAUGGAAACAUGACUAAAAAAGGGUGGUAUGACCUUUUGACCUUAUCGUGGCUAUCUUUUGGGGUCUGAUCAGCCCUGGGGGAGAGCCAUUUGUAUAAUGAAUUGUGGUCAGUUGGGUUUCUAAUUUUAAGGUAAAUUAGUUAUAAUGGAGUGUUAGUUUGGGGUUUAGAAUUAUUGUUUGAAACACUGAAGCUGAUUUACAAUAUUAGCUGUGAAGUUUUUGAAUUGGCUAUUAUGGAUUUGAUAUUACAACAGAAAAUAGUUAUAUUUAUCAUUGAGAAUAAAUAGGGGUGAUAAAUUACUGUAGAUAAGGUAUUCCACACUAUGCAACAUAUAUUAAAUUCAUGUUAUUGUCAGAUAGGAUACUGAGGAUCCCUGAAGGAAAGAGCUUGUAAUUCAAUAUGGUUAGCAUUUGUUUUUUCUAAAAUCAAUGAUUUUAGAUAGUCAAACAGUGAGACAUGUAGUUCAAAUUUGGAAACAUGAGAAAAAGAGCUACAGACAGAUAGGGGGAAAAGGCAGACAGAAGAGCCCUCCCCCGCACUGCAGAGACCUUGAAGGUUGGAGAGCAGAGAGGAGAAGUUUUAGAAGUGGAGCCAGGACGAGCAAAGAUACAGAAUGUGUAGAUAACAGUUACUGAAUGGAGACAAAAGGGACAAUUGGACAUAUACAUGAUAAUGUCAGAAAAUAAGGAUAAUUUACUAAUCCUACCUAAGUCAUUAUUUAGGGUAUAUAAGGUUGUUACCUGGGCAGAGCCAGGUAUCAAAAGGGGGGUGGGUAAGUUAGUGGCCUAUUGGAUAUAAGAAACUAAUAAUAAAAUAAAAAACAUUUUUAGCAAACAAAUAGGCAUAUAAGUUAAAGAUAUAAUCAGAUAAAACAUAGGAGAAAAUGUUUGUUAACCAAGCCUGUAUGUCCAGGAUUCUAUGCAUUACAGGUGAACUACAGGUGAAGUCACUCAAUCCAGUCCCAGAGGCUUGUUGGGGGGACCAUACCAAGGACUCCUGGUGACAGCUAGCUGAAAGAGCUACCCAGAUUCGUAUCGCACGGUGGGAGGGUAAGACACAUUGACACUGUCGAACAAUAAACAGUGUUCGAGAGGAGAACUGGAAUUAACAGAAUUCCGGGGGCCAUCUCUCGAAUGAAGAAAAUCCUUCCUGUCUUUUCAUCCCUGUUUUUGUUCAUAGAAGUGAAGGUGUGUCUGGCGCUUGCUAAGUGAUGUGUUCUCGGGGAGAGGGUGGGGCUUCACAUGGAAGCUGUUCAUCUGAGCUGUCUUAUCGUGGGUGACAUAUUCCUGAUACAGCACGUCCUACUUGAGUAUGCGGAGAGUGGUAAUUUGACCCAUGGUUUAGACGAUGAGGAUUUUGUUCCAAAAUAAGCAUAAGAGAUCCCUAGAUCUGGGUAGACAGGAAGUUAGAGUAGAGGUUGGGAAGGAUCUCUCAAUGGAGUUUUAUGUAGACCAACAUGGAGUCUCUAACUACAUGGCAGUCUAGGACUCUGAGCCAUUAUGGCAUAUAUCGGUGCAGGUUCCCAUAUUGAUCGUGGACACAGGUCAUAGCUCAUUUGGAGAGAGAGGGUUAAUAUGAAUCCACUCACCCAGUAUGGAAGAAGGUAGAGUAUAGUGAAGGUGAGAGUUUUUGAUUGUAAUCAGGAGAGAGGGAUGUAUUGCAUAAAGAUACCCCUAACCCUUUAAACAGAAAUGAAGGAGGAUCUAGGGUUGUGGUAUGGACAUGACCAGGUCUUGGUCGACACCCUAGUACGGUUCUGGGUAGAGGAGUUUAGGCCGGUAUGGUAAAGCUGUUCAUUCACCUGUGUGACUGUUUAGUUUUAUGGGGCUGUUGUCUAAUUCCCUGUGUAUGAGGCCUUAUUUCCAGGACUCUGGAGAAAUCGAUGACAAUAGAUGGUGAGAUACCAGGGGAUUCCAGGUUCAGACCCGCGGAGUGCUGAUUGUAUGUCUACAGGACAAGUGGACGAAUCUGGAUCCUUCAGUUGCGGGCAAUUUAUGUUUGAAGAGACCAUUUUUGAUGUUUAGGUUGCAUCCCAUCUAGGUUGCAUCCCAUCUCAAUAUUAGACUGUUUUUUUAUGAAGAUUGUAACGAAAAUCCUGAUAAGAAGAGUUAUGAUUCUGAUGUAGGCCUGAGAAACAGUUAUGGCGAAUGCAAGUAUGGGGUUAUGUUUAGGUGAUGUUUUGAUGACAAGAAAUAUCUCUAAUAAAAAUAAAAUUUUUAUCAAUGAUGACUAAUUAUGUAUACAUUUCAAUCAGGACUGAAUAAUCCGAAUACUGUUAUGUUACUGUACAUGUAUGAAUUUUCUCUCUUGCUCCCAGUAUUGAAUAUAAUGUAGUCAAGAGUUUAGAACAAUGAUGGCCUGUUCCUUGGUACAAAUAAAUGAACUAUCUCCAGAUGGCAGGGACGGACUAUCUCCAGACUGUCUAGAAUGCUUAUCUACACUGACUGACCUUGGCUCUAGGCGAGGAGGGAAGGCUUGAGAUCUAUAGAGCCUUUCUACCAGUGUCAAGAAGAGACGGAACAUUUAGAAAACGCUGACGUCAUUUUCAGUUCAUAACCUGUGGUAAAAUGUGUAUGAACUCAGUACUCUCUUGAAUUAAAGGCUGUUACUUGACUUUUAA